Molecule: ribosomal RNA, 274 nt
Filed under: uncultured bacterium
Lineage: Bacteria
Description: partial 16S ribosomal RNA
Rfam family: Bacterial small subunit ribosomal RNA
Source: RNAcentral
CCCUUGUCAUUAGUUGCUACGAAAGRGCACUCUAAUGAGACUGCCGGUGACAAACCGGAGGAAGGUGGGGAUGACGUCAAGUCCUCAUGGCCCUUAUGGGUAGGGCUUCACACGUCAUACAAUGGUACAUACAGAGGGCCGCCAACCCGCGAGGGGGAGCUAAUCCCAGAAAGUGUAUCGUAGUCCGGAUUGUAGUCUGCAACUCGACUGCAUGAAGUUGGAAUCGCUAGUAAUCGCGGAUCAGCAUGUCGCGGUGAAUACGUUCCCGGGUCUU